Molecule: long non-coding RNA, 2868 nt
Filed under: Androctonus crassicauda
Lineage: Eukaryota; Metazoa; Arthropoda; Arachnida; Scorpiones; Buthidae
Source: RNAcentral
GUUUGAAAUUCCUGUAAAAUCUUACAUUAAUCGACACAACCAGACGUAUUAAAAAUCCGCUCACUUCUCGAAUUUACCGACGUUUGAACAGAAGUCGAAACCUUUCAAUGCUUUCUUUCAGAUUGAACUUAAGUCGUGCUUCUAAAACAAUUUCGCAAAGUUGCAUCCAUUUAGGCGCUUAUUUUAGAAGAAUACGGAUGAAAUAUUUAAGUCCGCGUCUUUUUUUUUUUUUCUUUUACCUCUUUUCAAUUAAAGUAUAUGCUCGGAAUUGUUUGUGCCAAAUUUUAUUUUUCGCAGCUUAAAGGCAAUCUCGGAUUUCUGCACUAUAUAAAUUUUUCAGGAUUGUGUCAUACCAAAUUCCUCAACACACUCUCCAAACAAACUUCCCGCCCAAAUCCCAUAGUUCAUUAUAGAAUGAUGUCAUUUGGAGCGCUAUCGUUUACCUGCCGUCCCAUUACAAAGCAACCACAUCACUUUUUAUUACGGCGUCUGUCUUCAAUUAUCAAAGCGAAACGGGGGGUGGGCAAUUCAACGCGUGCGACGAAGGUAAGCCUUUUACACUCGCGCAGUCACGUACUAAGGCACCGAGAGAACAUCUGUGGACGAAACGUGAAAUAAAUCACCAAAGAGAACCAAGUGUUGUAAGUAGUUCUAGUGAGAUUUGAAGAAUGGAAUCGAGGGGAAAGGAGGAAGUUUUCCACUUAAUAUGAAAACGCGCAUCUGUAAUUAAAGCUGUUUGUUUAAACUCCAAAGAAAAAUUUCUCUUCGUAGUUUACCGGAAGGAUAAAAAAAAAUAAUAAUAUUAAUAUUAAGUUAUAGUCUCUUCUAGUUCAAAUAAUUAGAAUAGGUUAAUAUUUUAAUGGCUGUUUAAAAUAUUGAUAUAGUUUUAAGUUGUUAAUUGAGUAUGCAAAUCAACCUCUUACAAUCCCAGAUCGACUGAUAAGUUUUCUAAAUGUUCCCUUUAUAUCUUUAAGAAUUUUAAGUAAAGUUGAUGUACUGGCUCUUAAGAAGACUUUUAUUUUCUGGAGAAAUGAUGGCAACCCAUCGUCACAGGAUUCAAAAAUCUCCAAUUUUGAUAAAUAAUUAUUAAACGAGUGGAUAUCCUUUCUAAUUGUAUACGACGAAUGAUGCUACUUGGAUUACUGGCGAUUUUAUGAUUUUCUUCGAUCUUAAAUAAAAAAAAAGGGACCAAAUCCAAAUUUCUCCUUUGUUAAUCGUUAAAUGCACAAUUUUUAUGCACAGAUGUGGAGAUUUUUAACGCUUUACCGGUUUACAAAUUUUAUUUUGGCUAGUUGGAGACGAUGUAAUGCGGCUGACGUUUAGCGAUUAGAACCGAAUUUUUAUAUUGUUUAUCCACCAUAACAAUACGUCGUCUUAGCCAGACGAGAGAUUUUCUGGUGGCUCUCCCUCGUAUUAAAUCUUAGCGUUAAGUCUCAGGUAAGGAAACCCGGUGUUCCCCGGUGUCAUUUUAGAUCCACCCCGGGGAUUCCUGGGAUACAAUUAAACCACCACCGACCCCACGUUUGUCCCGUGAAUGGCAAUUGAUUUAUUGAUGGUUAAUUUGGAAAGUGCAUCUGUUACCAUGGUUACUCCCCCGGUCUACGGAGGGGAAGAAAGAGACAGAGAGAGAGAGAGGAGAGAAGAGAGGCGAACCCUUUACACCACAGAGCGAAGUAAAAGCACGUUUCUCCACACAGUUUGAUUUUCUAUAAGCGAAUUUGUAUCGACUGGCGAGUAAAGGAAACGGCUGUAAGGCGAUGAAGCAGUUAUGGCUGACGUGGACGGCGUUGCCAACUUGAUCACCGAAAGUGGAUUUUCUUCGCCCGCUUUUUGUCUUUCGAAUCGCUACAGUCUCAGACCAGCGCCUCCCAUUUCGUUCCUUCUCUUUAUUUUCCUUUUUUUUUUCUUUUUCUUUUUUCCUCCCUAGCUUUGUCAUUGCUUCCAGAUGUUUCGUCGUAUCUCUGUCGAAUGUUAAAUCUUCUUUUCGUCCCGUUUGCGGCGCGAAGAAUUAUCCGAUGUGUCGCUGAGCUUUUCUGUUUGUUUUGUCGUUCCUGUAUUAUUCUUUUUCGUUCCUUUUAUUGUUUCGUAUCGCCAAAUAGGUACGUUUUCUUUUAUUCCCCUUCUAUCCCCCUACACACACACACACAUUUAAGUAACAGUUUGUCUUCGAUCGCAAUCGGGAUUUUCCCGUCUUGUUAAAUCGUGAACAGAAUUGCGGGCCUGGCUUUUGUUAUGUUUACGUCCUUGAACAACCAUCACGAUUGUUUCCCACUUAGCAUUUAUCAUUAAAUAUAUUUUUGACGAGUUCUCAUUAUAAAAACACAAUAACGUCUCUCCUUUUUCCUUUUAAACAAAACUUUUAACUAAAAUUAAUAAUUUUAUAUAUUAAGAUCGCACGCAUCAGAUUCCGCAACGCCGCGCGCGACACACGCUUCGAUUCCGUAAAAGUUAAUUUAAAAAAAUGCAGUAAUACAGACGCACUAUCAGUAUCGUGCGCGUAAUAUACUGGCGAAGAUUUAGGAAUUAAACCCGAGUCGAAAGGAAAAAUAAAAUAAAAGCGGUAGAAAAGUUAUGUAGAGCGACGACCGGAUCCGUGGCGCGUGGGACGAAAAUAUUGUACGCGAAUUCGCUGCGCGACACUUCCCGUCACGUGACGCCAACUCUAUCUGAUACCAGUAAAAGAAGAAAGGAACCGCCCGAUCCUGAAUUUUGCAAAUGUUCAGUCCGAAGUUUGUAGUCUUUUUUUUUUAUUUUUUAUUCCCUCCGAAAACAGACGACGACAAAUUCUAUUUUCUAGCAACUGUUUUUGAAUAUUAAAAACGACGCUUUUUUUUAUUUUUUGACACAUUUCCACCAUCGACUUUAUGC